This 492-nucleotide ribosomal RNA is filed under the name uncultured bacterium. RNAcentral's name for it is "partial 16S ribosomal RNA". It matches the Rfam family "Bacterial small subunit ribosomal RNA", at positions 29 to 507 of the family's 1533-position model. The record is from RNAcentral.
AGUGAACGCUGGCGGUAGGCCUAACACAUGCAAGUCGAACGGCAGCACAGUAAGAGCUUGCUCUUACGGGUGGCGAGUGGCGGACGGGUGAGGAAUACAUCGGAAUCUACUUUUUCGUGGGGGAUAACGUAGGGAAACUUACGCUAAUACCGCAUACGACCUACGGGUGGAAGCAGGGGAUCUUCGGACCUUGCGCGAUUGAAUGAGCCGAUGUCGGAUUAGCUAGUUGGCGGGGUAAAGGCCCACCAAGGCGACGAUCCGUAGCUGGUCUGAGAGGAUGAUCAGCCACACUGGAACUGAGACACGGUCCAGACUCCUACGGGAGGCAGCAGUGGGGAAUAUUGGACAAUGGGCGCAAGCCUGAUCCAGCCAUACCGCGUGGGUGAAGAAGGCCUUCGGGUUGUAAAGCCCUUUUGUUGGGGAAGAAAAGCAGCAGGUUAAUACCCCGCUGUUCUGACGGUACCCAAAGAAUAAGCACCGGCUAACUUCGUG